Molecule: RNA transcript, 10337 nt
Organism: Gorilla gorilla gorilla (western lowland gorilla)
Lineage: Eukaryota; Metazoa; Chordata; Mammalia; Primates; Hominidae
Gene name: sorting nexin-29-like
Exons: 12
Source: RefSeq, a predicted model, not a curated record
CAGGCCGGGCGCCGGAGCCCACAUGGCAUAGGGGUGCGGUCCGGGGGCGCGCGGCCCUGGGGCCGGGUCGGCACGUGGGGCGCUGACAGUGGCGCCGUCUGCCUGGGUGGGGCGCCCCGAGCCCGGGAGCCGGCCUUCGCGGGGCGGCCCGCGGCGGUGGCCGGGCGGGGAGCGGACAGCGGGCAGCGCGCCCAAAGACCCGGACCCGAGUGCCGCCCCUCCGCGCCCCUGCCCUGCUGUGGAGUCCGCAGUUACCCCCUUGAGAUGGGAACCGUAUGGGACGGAGUGGGGGCCGCGGCGGAUCCCUGCCACGAGGCGCAGAAUGAGGACAGAUGGAGCCAGGAGUCAUUUGGGUGGGCGUUUAGAGAUCCCAGGAGUUGGGGAGGACAAACGGCCGAGUUUUCCUUUCACCUUAGGCCCAGCCGAGGUGGGUGGAUCACGAGGUCAGGAGAUGGAGACCAUCCUGGCUAACACGUUGAAACCCCGUCUCUCCUAAAAAAAUACAAAAAAUUAGCUGGGUAUGGUGGCAGGAGCCUGUAGUCCCAGCUACUUGGGAGGCUGAGGCAGGAGAAUCACUUGAACCCGGGAAGUGGAGGUUGCAGUGAGCCAAGAUCGCGCCACUGCACUCCAGCCUGGGCGACAGAGCGAGAUGCCGUCUCAAAAAGAAAACAAAGCAAAACAAAAGAACGUUGUGAAUGUGUAACACUUGUGUUCACACUCAAUCCAUCACCUUUUCUAUCUCCACUGCCACCACUGUAGACAGGCACCAUGUCUUGCCUGGACAACUGCAAUAACUCCUUAACCACCUGCUCUUUCUCCACCCUGCCCCCAUUAUAAUUCAUUCUCAUCCCAGGAAGAGCCAUUUUUGUUGUUGUUGUUGAGAGGGAGUCUCACUCUGUCACCCAGGCUGGAGUGCAGUGGUGGGAUCUCGGCUCACUGAAACCUCUGCCUCCCGGGUUCAAGCAAUUCUCCUGUUUCAGCCUCCCCAGUAGCUGGGACUACAGGCGCACGCCACCAUGCCUGGCUAAUUUUUGUAUUUUUAGUAGAGAUGGGGUUUCACUAUGUUGGCCAGGCUGGUCUCGAACUUCUGACCUCAGGUGAUUCACCCGCCUUGGCCUCCCAAUCAUGCCUUGGGAUUACAGGCAUGAGUCACCGCGUCCGGCCUAGGAGCCAUAUCUUAAAACCUAAUUCAGAUCGUGUCACUCCUCUGCUUGAAUCCUUUUUUUUUUUUUUUUUUUUUUGGUAGAGAACGGCGUCUCGCUAUGUUGCCCAGGCUGCUCUUGAACUGUUGGCCUCAAGCGAUCCGUCCGCCUCCGCCCUCCCAAGUGCUGGGACCUUCCUAGAAUUAGGCAGAAAAGCCCAAACUCCUUCCUCUGGCCUGCAAGGCCCUCCCUCCACCUCUUCAAUCUCCUUUUCUCACUCACCCUCUCGAACUCCUGACCUCAGGUGAUCCGCUCGCCUCGGCCUCCCAAAGUGUUGGGAUUACAGGCGUGAGCCACCGCACCAGGCCUAUUUUCUCACUCACCCCCUCGCUCCUGUCAACCCCUCCAGGCAGGGGCCUUGCAAUUGCCCCUCCUUAUGGAACACUUUCCCUGGGGAUCUUCCCGGACUGGUUUCCUCUCAUCAUCCAGGUCUGGGCUCAAAAGUCGCCUCCUUAGAGAGGCCCUCCGGGAUUGCCCAUCCGCCUGUGCCCACGCUUUGUCCCGUUACUCUAGUUUUAUUUCCUUUCCCGCUCGCAUCCCUCUCUGGGACGAAGUCGCCCCAUCACUCGUGGCUUUCUUCUCUGUCGCCCCGACAGGAGUGGGAACCUCAGGAAGGCAGGGGAGGCGUCUUGGGCACUUGGGGACAGCGACGCCUCCUCGCGGGGUCUCGGGUUUACCCGGAGUCCCCAGCCCGCGUAGCCUCAGCACCGCUCUCCACACCAGGUCCGGCGACCUGCAUCUGCGCCGCGGUUUACGUUCCGGGUCGGCGGGCGGGCCUCGUCGGCGGCCAGGCUCUACUUCCGGGGCGGGGCGGCCGGGGCGGGGCUCCUGUCUCCCGGCUUGUCUGGAGCUGGGCGGCCGCAGAAGCGGCAGCGGCGGCGGCGCGGCGCAGGCACCGGCCCGGGGAGAGGCACCAUGAGCGGAUCACAGAACAAUGACAAAAGACAAUUUCUGCUGGAGCGACUGCUGGAUGCAGUGAAACAGUGCCAGAUCCGCUUUGGAGGGAGAAAGGAGAUUGCCUCGGAUUCCGACAGCAGGGUCACCUGUCUGUGUGCCCAGUUUGAAGCCGUCCUGCAGCAUGGCUUGAAGAGGAGUCGAGGAUUGGCGCUCACAGCGGCAGCGAUCAAGCAGGCAGCGGGCUUUGCCAGCAAAACUGAAACAGAGCCCGUGUUCUGGUACUACGUGAAGGAGGUCCUCAACAAGCACGAGCUGCAGCGCUUCUACUCCCUGCGCCACAUCGCCUCAGACGUGGGCCGGGGCCGUGCCUGGCUGCGCUGUGCCCUCAACGAACACUCCCUGGAGCGCUACCUGCACAUGCUCCUGGCCGACCGCUGCAGGCUGAGCACUUUUUAUGAAGACUGGUCUUUUGUGAUGGAUGAAGAAAGGUCCAGUAUGCUUCCUACCAUGGCAGCAGGUCUGAACUCCAUACUCUUUGCGAUUAACAUUGACAACAAGGAUUUGAAUGGGCAGAGUAAGUUUGCUCCCACCGUUUCAGACCUCUUAAAGGAGUCAACACAGAACGUGACCUCCUUGCUGAAGGAGUCCACGCAAGGAGUGAGCAGCCUUUUCAGGGAAAUCACAGCCUCCUCUGCCGUCUCCAUCCUCAUCAAACCUGAACAGGAGACCGACCCCUUGCCUGUCGUGUCCAGGAAUGUCAGUGCUGAUGCCAAAUGCAAAAAGGAGCGGAAGAAGAAAAAGAAAGUGACCAACAUUAUCUCAUUUGAUGAUGAGGAAGAUGAGCAGAACUCUGGGGACGUGUUUAAAAAGACACCUGGGGCAGGGGAGAGCUCAGAGGACAACUCCGACCGCUCCUCUGUCAAUAUCAUGUCCGCCUUUGAAAGCCCCUUCGGGCCAAACUCCAAUGGAAGUCAGAGCAGCAACUCAUGGAAAAUUGAUUCCCUGUCUUUGAACGGGGAGUUUGGGUACCAGAAGCUUGAUGUGAAAAGCAUCGAUGAUGAAGAUGUGGAUGAAAACGAAGAUGACGUGUAUGGAAACUCAUCAGGAAGGAAGCACAGGGGCCACUUGGAGUCGCCCGAGAAGCCACUGGAAGGGAACACCUGCCUCUCCCAGAUGCACAGCUGGGCUCCGCUGAAGGUGCUGCACAAUGACUCCGACAUCCUCUUCCCUGUCAGUGGCGUGGGCUCCUACAGCCCAGCAGAUGCCCCCCUCGGAAGCCUGGAGAACGGGACAGGACCAGAGGACCAUGUUCUCCCGGAUCCUGGACUUCGGUACAGUGUGGAAGCCAGCUCUCCAGGCCACGGAAGUCCUCUGAGCAGCCUGCUACCUUCUGCCUCAGUGCCAGAGUCCAUGACAAUUAGUAAGUACUUUCGCAGCCCCCUCUACCAGCUCUGGGAUGACUUCUGGCCCAUGUCUCAUGGCGGUGCCUUUGUGCUUCUAACCCUGUGACUGUGGGUUCAAGUCAGGUGUGUACGUCCCUGGUUGUAGACUGGAGGUGUGGUACGUGCUUGUGGAUGUCCAGAACCGUGGUUAAUGCGUGGCGCUUGGGCGUGUGCGCGCUGAAGGGCGUGCCUCAGGGUGGAGCAGCCUUGCCGUAGACUUCUGUGGUUCCAGGUUUCGGGGUUUGCCUCCCGUAAUGCAGUUAGCUACAGAGGACCUAUUCUAGUUGGAUUUCCUUUGUAACUCUAAAGGACUCAUUUUUGCAAGUGAAGAAGAAUAUGUCUCUCCAAGAUGAUUAAACUUUGCUAAUGAUCAGGCUUCAACUGUUUCCAACUUUACUACCUAGAAAAAGUAUUAGAGAUAUAGCAAGGAAGACUAGGUUUGAAUGGCUUUGUAUAACAAAGAAUAAACCAACUGUUAUGUAAACUGACGGGUGCUCCUGGUAUCUCACUCGUGGCUUGAGCCAGCAUUUGUCCCAUGGCCUCCCCUGGAGGCAGAGGGGGCACUUGUUCCCAGUUAAAAAAAAAAAUUAGCUUUUGUUGCUAAGGAAGGAAGAAGGCGUUUGGGAGGCACCUAGCAUUUUCUGAUUCAAGGGUGAAGCAGGAAGUGAGCAGACACUAUAUAAACCAACAGUUGGUUUAUUUUUUGUACACAAAGCCAUUCAGAUCUACUCUUCUUGAAGUUUUUGUGGAGGUUGCAGUGAGCCGAGAUGGCGACACUGCACUCCAGCCUGGGUGCCAGAGCGAGACUCUUUGUCUUAAAAAAAAAAAAAAAAAAAAAAAAAAAAAAAAAGAAACAAAAAGAAAAAAAAAAGCUAAAAUAAAAAUUUCGGGGAAAAAAAUUUCGGGAGAAAAACCUUGGUGAAGUUCUGAUUGCUGGAUUUGGUCACAAAGGUCAUGCUGUUGGUGACAUCCCUGGGGUCCGAGUUAAGGUUCUCAGAGUAGUCAGUGUCUCUCCCUUGGUCCUAUGCAAAGGCAAGAAGGAAAGACCAAGAUAAUACAUUUUGGUGGUGAAAACACAGUAGAAAUAUAUUUUUAUAAGCCAAAGGCAAAGAGAUGUGUCAGCGAGUCACAUUAGAAAGGUGUUGAGGCUAUCCUGUUACUGAACUGAUGGUAAUGGAGAGGACUGAGGAUGGGAAAAGAAGCCACUCCUGUGACUUGCUGGGAUCUAACGCCACAUCACUUCCCAGCACCUACGAUUCUGUCUCUGUGUGGGUGGCACCGUGGUGUAGAUGGACAAGACUUGACUCUGGCUGUGAGGCACAGCUACUGUAAAGAACACUGCGUUUUGAUUUAUGGGCAUUUUUUUUUUAAAGGACAGCAGCCCCGAGAUCAUGCCUGCGAGGCUUUGUAGGCACCGUAAGUAGGGCUGCAGGCAUCCCUGUGUGCCCCGGCAGGUGUCUGACAUUCUGUUUCCCAAGAGUUCCUGCGGCCGGGGCUGAGGUCCCAGCAUCUCAGAUAAACACGGUUUGCUUUGUCAGCUGCGUCUCAGGUCCACGUAGAGCAUGGUGUCUGGGCCUUCCUCAGCCGCUUUCUGUCUUUGAGGAAGUCACUGGCCUUGCCUGUGCAUUUUCAGUGAUGACAUACAUGCCCUUAAACAUGCUCGAGUUAGGCCAGUGACAGAGGCAUAGAUUGUUUUUCUUGUUUUGACUCAGACAAUUUUUUAGAAACUAAAUCAUUUUAUUAUUUGGCAUUUUGAGCAAGUUUGGGACAUAUCCAGAGCUUAUACCUUGAAUCUCUGAAGAAAAAAAUGUCACCAUGUCUGCAUUUGAGCCUUGAUACUUGGUAGAAAUGUGGUCUGUGGUUAGGAUUGUGUGUGGGUGGCUGGGACAAGCGGCUUCUGUCUUCUGCGGUGCCUGUACCUUUAGGAAGUCUUCAAGGACAGUGCUGUUGUCUACCCUGGAUGUCAUCCAGCACAGAUGAGGGGUCAGGAAUCCUAGAAAUUUUGAGCGAAGGGUGGUUUUCAAUUGUGUUUUCCCACCCUGCCAUCACCUCCUGUGUCACAUGCAAGAGGAGUAAGAAGAGUGGGUCUGUCUGGGUGUCCGGGGUAUUUGCUUGGGCUACCAUAACAAGGGGCCACAGAUAGGGUGGCUUCAACAACAAAAACUUAUUUUCUCGGCCGGGCACGGUGGCUCAUGCCUGUAAUCCUAGCACUUUGGGAGGCCGAGGUGGGGGGAAUCACUUGAGGUCAGGAGUUCAAAACCAGUCUGGCCAACAUGGUGAAACCCUGUCUCUACUAAAAAUACAAAAAAUUAGCAUGGUGUGGUGGCUGGCACCUGUAAUCUCGGCUACUCGGGAGGCAGAAGCAGGAGAAUCGCUUGAACCUGGGAGGCAAAGGCUGCAGUGAGCUGAGAUUGCACCACUGCACUCCAGCCUGGGCGACAGAGCAAGACUAUGUCUCAAAAAAAAAAACAAAAAAAACAAAAAAAACCCUCAAAACUUACUUUCUUACAGUUCUGGAGGCUGAAAGACCAAGAUCAAGGUGCCAGCAGGGUUGAUUUCUGGUGAGGACUCUUUCCUUGGCUUGCAGACAGCCACCUUCUCUCUGUCCUUAUGUGGCCUUUCCUCUGCAGGCACAUCCUGGUGUCCCUUCUCUCUUCUUAUAAGGGCGCCGGUCCUGUGGGAUCAGAGCCCCAUGCUUAUGACCUUAUUAACUUUGAUUACCUCAUUAAGGCCUUGUCUCCAUAUAAACUCAGAUUGGGAGUUAGGGCUUCCACUGGUCCAUUUGGGAAGGGAUGCCAUAGCAUGAGUUGUCCCAGGAGUGAGUGUCGCAAAUGCCGUCCCAGUUCAGAUGGAGCAUCCCAUCGCUGCAUGUGAAGCACCUGAGAUUCUACUCUAGAGCAGUCACUCGACUCUUGGAAACCCCAGAGGAGCUUGGCAAAGAAACUCAUCAGCUCUGCCCCCCGAAGCAGCGAAUGCUUCACUCACAUCCCGCCAAGUGGCUUCCCUGGCUUCGUGUAAUAAUCUGCGCAGGUGGCUGCCUCUGUACUGUAAUUGAGCUAGAGCUAGGUUAUUUAAUCCUCAGUGCCUGGGGAUAAUUGUGAAGUCUUCUAUCGAGCAACCUUUCCCUCUCAGGUAUCUCUGAAAUUGCAAAGGGUGUUUUGUCCUGAGGCAUUCAGAGGGACUGUAUUCUUGUGGUUAUUUACUACUGAAGAGAAGAUGGUGUGUCCAGACCCACAUGAUUGUUCUCCUUCUGCAAGGCCCUCUGGUACUUCAGAAAAUACAAAAGCCUGUUAUGAAAAAGUUAUUAUUUUUUUUUGAGAUGGAGUGUUGCUCUUAUCGCCCAGGCUGGAGUGCAGUGGCACAAUCUCGGGUCACUGAAACCUCCGCCUCCCGGAUUCAAGCUAUUCUCCUGCCUCAGCCUCAUGAGUAGCUGGGAUUACAGAUGCCUGCCACCACCCUCAGCUAAUUUUUGUACUUUUAGUAGAGGCAGGGUUUCACCAUGUUGGCCAGGCUGGUCUCGAACUCCUGACCUUGUGAUCCGCCCACUUCGGCUUCCCAAAGUGAAAAAGUUAAUUAUUUAGCAAAGCAGUAAAGACAGUUUGGAGCAAACUAAAACACCCAUAAUUCUGCCUCACGGAUGCCUUGCAUUUCUGCAGGUAGGUUCCCAGUUCUUGUUUCGGGCACACGGAGCUGUACCUGGGGUUGGAGUUGCAGCUGUGCCUGUUGCUCUCAGGAGGCCAUGUGCCCUCAGGGCCAGGAGGGCACACUCAGAAGCUCAGCUGCCUGGGCUCAGGUUCCAGCUGAGUGGCCCCAGCCCCCUCAGUACCGUGUCCUUAUCAAGAUAGAGUGACAGGAUCAACACCCAAAUCAUGGGCGGCCAUGAAGAUAACUGUGAUGUGCUUAGAACAGCAUCAGGAUCAGAGUUAAGAGUCAAUAAAUAGGCCGGGCGCAGUGGCGCACGCCUGUAAUCCCAGCACUUUGGGAGGCCAAGGUGGGCAGAUCAUUUGAGGGCAGGAGUUUGAGACUAGCCAGGCCAACAUAGUGAGACUCUGUCUCUAUAAAAAAUAAAAAAAAUUACCUGGAUAUGGUGGUGCGUACCUGUAUUCCCAGCUAAUUGGGAGGCUGAGGCAGGAGGAUUGUUUGAGCCCAGGAGGUCAAGGCUGCAGUGAGUUAUGAUUACACCACUGCACUCCAGCCUGGGUGACAGGGCUAGACCCCGUCUCAAAAAGAAAAAGAAAAAGAAAAAAGAAAUCCCCAGGGCAGUGAGUGUCUUCUGUCCCCUCUGGGCCCUUUCCCCUUGUCUGGAGUCACCCACAUGGCCAGUGGCUUUGCUUUUCUGCCUCCUCUUCUGUCAGCUCUUAACACCAGUUCCUGACAAACCCUCAAAGCAAACUUCUGGAAUGCUAUGGGCUUGUUAAGAACACAGCAGGUCCGAGGAGAGUGGCAUUUGAUUUGUUUUUGGAGGCCCCAUAUUCCUUCUCCACUCUUCUUCCCUUUCCUUUUGGACGGAGUCUCGCUCUGUCGGCCAGGCUGGAAUGCACUGGUGUAAUCUCGGCUCACUGCAACCUCCGCCUCCCAGGUUCAAGUGAUUCUCCUGCCUCUGCCUUCCGAGUAGCUGGGGUUAAAGGCACGCGCCACCAUGCCCGGCUAAUUUUUGUACUUUUAGUAGAGGUGGGGUUUUGCCAUGUUGGCUAGGCUGGUCUCAGACUCCUGACUUCAGGUGAUCCUCCUGCCUCGGCCUCCCGAAGUGGUGGGAUUAUAGGCAUGAGCCACUGUGCCCAGCCCCCACCCUACUUCUCUAAUAAAAUGUGUCUGUUUAUUAUUCUAGUUCUGACUAGAAUAAUAAUCUUCUAUCAAAAUAGAAGCUAGUAAAAGUAACAGUAUAUUCUGGUAAAACUGACUGUAUGCCAUGUAUGGUGCUGAAGCAUUUUUAUUUAUGUUUUCUCAUUGAAUCCCCCAGCAGCCUUCUGAGGUGUAGGUUAUAUUAUUCUCUUUUGUAUAAGAAAAUGAGGCUUAGGAGGGUAAGUACCUGCCCAAGGCCUCAUGGCUAGUAGAACAGAUAGUUACUGAGCACCUACUGUGUGCCAGACAUGGUGUCUAGCUGUAGUAAGUGGUGAAUCUGUGAGAGACCCAGGUGUUCUUACUCCAAAACCUACACUCUUGCCAAUUCUUAUUUUUUUUUUUUUUUGAGAUGGAGUCUCGCUCUGGCUGGAGGGCAGUGGCGUGAUCUCGGCUCACUGCAAGCUCCGCCUCCCGGGCUCACGCCAUUCUCCUGCCUCAGCCUCCCGAGUAGCUGGGACUACAGGCGCCCGCCACCACGCCUGGCUAAUUUUUUGUAAUUUUUUGUAAUUUUUAGUAGAGACGGGGUUUCACUGUGUUAGCCAGGAUGGUCUCAAUCUCCUUUCCUUGUGAUCCGCCCGCCUCGGCCUCCCAAAGUGCUGGGAUUACAGGCGUGAGCCACUGCGCCUGGCCACACUCUUGCCAAUUCUACAUUACCUAAGGAGACACAUUUCAUUGUCACCAGCCAGGGCAAGCAGCAGUGGACUAGUCAUAUGUGGGCAUCCAGGUCUGAGAGCCUUAAGCUUAUCAUUACUAUUUUUGGAGGCAGGGUCUCUGUUGCCCAGGCUGGAGUGCAGUGGUGCAUUCCUGGCUUACUGCAGCCUUGAACUCCUGGGCUUAAGCGAUCCUCCUGCCUCAGCUUCCCAAGUAGCUGGGACUGAAGGUGCAUGCCACCCCGCCCGGCUGUGUUUUAAUGCUUAUUUUGUAGAGAUGGGAGUCUUGCUAUGUUGCCUAGGCUGGUCUUGAACUCCUGGGCUCAGAUAAUCCUCCCACCUCAGCCUCUCAAAGUGCUGGGGUUACGACAUGACCUACUAUGCCUGGCCAAACACCAAAUUUUAAAAUGAAGAAAAAUUUUCUUUUUACCAGUUUUAUUUAACUAUUGUCAUUUUUAAAAAACUUAAUUUGCGGCAACAAUGUUUCAAUAAAAUUUUGGAUUAAAUAGUCCCAUGGGUCCCAAUCUGGGGGACCAGGAGGGUACAAAUAGAAGAUGCAGGUGAGAGAGAAACAUUGUGAACCAGAGUAAUGGAGGCUGACACAGAUGCAGAGCAGUUAGGUCUUUCUGGAAUAGCACGUGUCUCUGCCUUUGGCUGCGAUAUUUCAGCUCCGUUAUUGGCAGGCUUUAAUAACAAGCAGGGUAACCAUCAUAACACUUAAAACUGAUAGACAAAUGUGGUUCAUGGGUGUGGAAUGAGAGGCAUUCUUGGUGGUAAGUAAUGAUUACGGGGCCAGGCAUGGUGGCUAAUGUCUGUAAUCUCAGCACUGUGGGAGGCUGAGGUGGGUAGAUCACCUGAGGUCAAGAGUUUGAGACCAGCCUGGCCAACAUAGUGCAACCCGUCUCUACUAAACAUACAAAAAACAAUUAGCCGGGUAUGGUGGUGGGUGCCUGUAAUCCCAGCUACUCAGGAGGCUGAGGCAGGAGAAUCGCUUGAACCCAGGAGGCGGAGGUUGCAAUGAGCCGAGAUCGUUGCCACUGCACUCCAGCCUGGGCAACAGAGUGAGACUCUAUCUCAAAAUAAACAGAUUAAUAAAGUAAAUAGAAAUUAGCUGGUCAUGGUGGCACAUGUCUGUGGUCUCAGCUUCUUGGGAGAAUGAGGCAGGAGGAUUGCUUGAGCCCAGGAGUUCGAGGCUGCAUUGAGCAGUGAUGAUGACACUGCACCCCAGCCUGGGCAACAGAGCAAGACCUGCUUCUUACACAUUUAAGGUAAUGAUUAGUACUCAUUAGAUGGUAAAGCAGCCG